GACAUAGGUGGCGAACGUUAUCCGGAAUUAUUGGGCGUAAAGGGCGCGUAGGCGGGAUGGCAAGUCGGUCGUGAAAUCCCUCGGCUCAACUGAGGAUCGUCGAUCGAUACUGCCGUUCUUGAGGAUUGCAGAGGAGACUGGAAUUCCCGGUGUAGCGGUGAAAUGUGUAGAGAUCGGGGGGAACACCGGUGGCGAAGGCGGGUCUCUGGGCAAUUCCUGACGCUGAGGCGCGAAAGCGUGGGGAGCAAACGGG
Molecule: ribosomal RNA, 253 nt
Filed under: uncultured bacterium
Lineage: Bacteria
Description: partial 16S ribosomal RNA
Rfam family: Bacterial small subunit ribosomal RNA
Source: RNAcentral